GAUGAACGCUGGCGGCGUGCUUAACACAUGCAAGUCGAACGGGAAACCUUUUAAUGCAGCUUCGGCAGAUUUAGCUGGUUUCUAGUGGCGGACGGGUGAGUAACGCGUGGGUAACCUGCCUUAUACAGGGGGAUAACAGUCAGAAAUGACUGCUAAUACCGCAUAAGCGCACAGGGCCGCAUGGUCCGGUGUGAAAAACUCCGGUGGUAUAAGAUGGACCCGCGUUGGAUUAGCUUGUUGGUGGGGUAACGGCUCACCAAGGCGACGAUCCAUAGCCGGCCUGAGAGGGUGAACGGCCACAUUGGGACUGAGACACGGCCCAGACUCCUACGGGAGGCAGCAGUGGGGAAUAUUGCACAAUGGGGGAAACCCUGAUGCAGCGACGCCGCGUGAAGGAAGAAGUAUCUCGGUAUGUAAACUUCUAUCAGCAGGGAAGAUAGUGACGGUACCUGACGAAGAAGCCCCGGCUAACUACGUG
RNAcentral lists this ribosomal RNA (478 nucleotides) under uncultured bacterium. RNAcentral's name for it is "partial 16S ribosomal RNA". It matches the Rfam family "Bacterial small subunit ribosomal RNA", at positions 28 to 507 of the family's 1533-position model. The record is from RNAcentral.